UACGUAGGGUGCAAGCGUUAAUCGGAAUUACUGGGCGUAAAGCGUGCGCAGGCGGUUUUGUAAGUUUGUUGUGAAAGCCCCGGGCUCAACCUGGGAAUGGCGAUGAAGACUGCAAGGCUUGAAUCUGGCAGAGGGGGGUAGAAUUCCACGUGUAGCAGUGAAAUGCGUAGAGAUGUGGAGGAACACCGAUGGCGAAGGCAGCCCCCUGGGUCAAGAUUGACGCUCAUGCACGAAAGCGUGGGGAGCAAACAGG
RNAcentral lists this ribosomal RNA (253 nucleotides) under uncultured bacterium. Its description in RNAcentral is "partial 16S ribosomal RNA". It matches the Rfam family "Bacterial small subunit ribosomal RNA", at positions 524 to 776 of the family's 1533-position model. The record is from RNAcentral.